CACCUCCUUGGCCGUGAAGCGUAUGACUUGAGGGCCUAUUUCGAAUUCUACACCCUCCUUCCAAUGACGGAGGAUGAACUCCAGCAAUGGCCUAUCUGAGGUGAUGUCGGGGAAGUGUAAGAUAUUACCGAAUAUCGUACUCUCGAUGACGGGAAGAUGAUGCGGCUUCACGACCGACGCGUAAGUCUUUCUGUACGCUCCGACGAAACACCUAGAAUUCACAAUGAAUCUACCGGCGGGGCCGCCGGCAACCGGCCGCGAAGGCGCCUUACGGCCGUCGGCAGACGAUGAAUCAGUAGAUUCCGACGACUUCGACGCCAUUGCAAGCAAUGUAGAUUUAGAUUGCUCGUGUAUUCGCCGAUGGAAUUCGAAUUGGACGAUGGUGGUUACAAAUAGAAAUGCGGCUGAUAGGGCAAUGACCGACGUAAGGCGGUUUAGAGCCCUUAAAAGAUUAGAAUAGGGUAAUGGGGAGCAACAGGAGUUUGAAAGUUAGUGGGAUGCUAGUAUGUGCCAGCCUUUUUACAAAACAGCGUACAAGUCCAUACAAAACCUGACACGUUAGCACAACAAACAGCCAACUGCCAGAAUAUGAAAGUUAUUGGGAUUAAUUGCCUUAAAUGCUGGACAGAGUCGUACAGUGACGUGAUCGUUAUACUCGACUAAGUAGGGAAGAGGCACUGGCCGGUAAGAGAGAGGAAGAGACACCGGCUGGGAGCGUGUAUCCACGCUAUUCGCCAGACCGUGUGUAUGUUGUUCCAUGAACACAUUGCACUAUUAUUUUAAAAUAGUUGCACCAUUAUGAACUUUGUUCUACUAUUUUACCUUUCGAUGCACUAUUAUUUUGAAAUAGUUGCACCAUUAUGAACAUUGUUCUACUAUUUUACCUUUCGAUGCACUAUUAACUUCGUUCCGCGCCUUUUAUUUCGCCUCAGCGGAGAUACACUAUAGCGGUCGGAGCGCAUAUCCACGCUAUUCGCUAGACCGUGUGUUUGCUGUUCCAUGAACCCAUUGCACUAUUAUUAUGACAUAGUGGCACCCUUAUGAACUUAGUUGUACUAUUUUACUCGACGUUGUACCAUUAAAUGCGUCGCGUCCGCUGUACGCAACCCAACCUCCCUCGAUCAUUACUCGGAACUCGGACCACAUCCGCCCUAGCUAUUCGCCGGCCCCGCUGUUUCCCGUUCGCCUUUAAGACUUUACGAAAUUUUCGAAAGCUAUUGACAAAUAAUGCGCGGCCCGAUAAUAGUACAACGCGAAGAGCUACCAAGGAUAAAUGGUGCAACAGACGUCUAUAAAAGUGCAUUCGUAGCUUCGUUCCUAUGCAACCAAACAAUAACAGUCAAAAUUUACUUAUUUUAUAUCAUAAUGUAAACUUAAGUUAAAAGUGCAAAUGAAAGGACAUCGGGGCCGU
Molecule: long non-coding RNA, 1411 nt
Filed under: Ananas comosus (pineapple)
Lineage: Eukaryota; Viridiplantae; Streptophyta; Magnoliopsida; Poales; Bromeliaceae
Description: long non-coding RNA (ACOM_LNC008631)
Source: RNAcentral